Non-coding RNA from Peromyscus maniculatus bairdii (prairie deer mouse), 1050 nucleotides. The record is from RefSeq and is a predicted model, not a curated record. NCBI's taxonomy places the organism in Eukaryota, Metazoa, Chordata, Mammalia, Rodentia, Cricetidae.
AUGCCCUGUGUGCCCUGUGGGGUCCGGCUGGAGCUUCUCAACUUUCUGCUCACACCCGGCUCUUUUUCAUGGGAACUACAGAUUCCGUCACAUCUCAAAUGACAAGGAUACCUCCCUGCAGAGUGCUAAUGUAAGACACGCAGGAGUGGGGAUGUCCCCCAGCCCAUACCACGCUGCCUCGCCCAGGUACUCUGGAGAACCUGAUGUGAAUUCUGGGGUGAUUGGUUCCUUUCCUGCCUCCUUUAAGCUGAAAGCACACAGAGAUACAAACAAACAAAAGGAGGGUGGAUAUUUCUUCACCAACUAUUUCCAAUUCGAGUUGCCUCAUGGCUCGGGGUGCUUGUCACCAUAGGACCCACAGGGCCAGUUCCAACUGUUACUCAGUAAGGCUUUUUUCUUUCCAAAAUUCCCAGUGUUCCUUUAAGGCCCAUUUAGCUGCGGGUUUUGUUUAUUCUCCCGGCAAUCAGCAUUUAAAAUAAGACAAACAAGCAUUUUUCCUGGGCUGUUGAAUCCCUGCCGGCCAGCCUCCACCUGCACACCUGAAGCCUAUGUGUCCAAUUGAAUUUCUCAGUAACCUAGAGCCCCUUCAGAGACCUGCCCCCUCCGCCUGUCAGACUGGGAAUCAGGAACUUGAGCAGCGUAAAUGCAAUUUUAAGAAUUGCUAAUGACGCUAGAAAUCUGCAAUGCAAUUAGCGUCAUUGGAUUUGGCUCUCCUCCGAAGGCACAAACCUCCUUGUCAUACUGCGGUGGUGGAAGAGGCAAGUGGGUCCAUGUGUGCCCAGCCCAGCCCUGGGUAUGCUGGCAGCCCCUUCGCACCAAGAUUGAAACGGUGAGAAGAAGAUAGUCCAUGAAGAGAGGCAGAGGCGAGCGGGCACCUGCCACUUCUUCAAAGUCAGCUGAUCAUUUGGAAUGAUGGACGGCGCGGCCGCCGAUGACGUCUCCUUUCAAGUCUCUUUGUCUAAGUGAAUUAUCGUGCGUCCUUUUAAUUUUAUUGAACAAAUUACAUUUGUCAAGGUCUAUCUUUGUAAAUAAAUGAUAACUAGAGACACA